AAAUAUUUGUUGUGGGCCGCGAGUUUGACAUCCUUGUUGUAGCGCCUCAUUUCACAAGUAGUGGUGAAGCAGGAGGGCACUCCUCCCCCCCCCCCGGCUACGCGCCUGCAAUGAAGGAAUGGGAGGAGUUGGCUUGCUAGAAACUUCUUGGAUUAGAUCGACCUAUGUUUAGAAGCAAAAAAUGGUACUGGAAUCUAUUUAGCAAUGCAUUAAAUAUGGCUGUUGUUGCCGGGUGGAUUUUACAUUCACAUUUGCACAAAGGUACAGAAGCCGAAUUGUCACAUCUCAAUUUCAGGAGAAAAGUAACUUUAUGUCUGCUUCGCAUGAAACAGAACCAUAAAAAUAAUAAUUAUUUUUUGUCUUUAUUUCUUGUUCCAAAAAUGUUGGCAAGUUUCUAUUUUUACUUGUAUUAUUUAACUUUUUAUUCAUAUGAUUUCCUUCGGUGUUUUUUUUUUUUUUUUUUUUUUUUUUUUUGUAUGGAGAUUAUUUGUUACUUCUUUAUUCUACAACUCUUUUCCUUGUUUCAGUAUAAACUGCUAACAGUUAAUGUAAAAUUAUUUUAUAAAUUAAUGCUUAUCAACUAUGUAAUUUUCAUUUUAAUCUAUGCUACUUCUGAAUAACGUUGAGAAAUGCACUUGCUAUUGCAGAAAAAGUGCAGACAAAAAAGAAGCUUCGAAUUAGAAUGUCAAUAAUCAUGUUUUUCAAAAAUCAUGUAAAAAAACUGUUUCCCGCGCCAAUAUUCCAUGUAUGGAACAUGUUAUAAUUCAUUAAAACAAUUAAAAAAAUGUUUUCUUUUUUCAUAAUUCCUAUAUUUGAGUUUUAAAUUGAUUUUCCACAACAAAACGUUUAUUUUACUUUCGCAUCAUAGUGUGGUGUGUAAAAGGUUAAAUGCACUAGCUGCUAAAAGUAUAGCAAGCAAUGCAAAUUGGUAGCUGAAUUUCAGAGGCUAAAAAUCACUACAAAUGCAGAUGGCAGUAUGCAAAUAUCGUAUAUUGCAGUCAAUCACAAUUAACAAUCUAAAUUUAUUCUAAUUAAGCAGCUGUUGAAGGCACCAGCAUCCUGAAGGGUUUGAGGAGAUUCGAUUAAAUGUUAAUACGAAGUGUUUCAAACUUAUUUAGGAUAUUUUUGAAGAUAUCCAUGUUUCUAUGACUGAAAAAACACAACUGGCAGAUGAGUGCUAUAGCAUACUGUUAGACACAUUGAAGCAAAAUAGUCAACUGAAGAUAUUGCUCUUUUCUUUGGUUGAAGAUCAUUUGGUAAUUUCUCCAAUGUGGAAAGAAUUCCAAGCAAGUCCUGUGUUCUGUCGACCAAGGUCUUCUGAAGAUUGUUUUAUUGCUAUAAUAGCCAAGAGGAAUUAAUGAGUGAUCUCCACUAGCAUUAGAUCCAUGAUUGCAACGUCACUUGGCAAGACCUGUACUGCACGUUGAAGGCUUCGGAUAAAGGAACUGCAUGCCUGAGUACCAAAUGUUUGCAUUCUGCUAACUUUACAAAAGAGUAAUAAAACUGUGCCAUCAACAUCUCAGUUGGACUGAAGUUUAGAUUUGCUUUGGAAUCAAUAAAUGUGUGAGGGUUUAGAGAAAAUGAGGUUUAUGAAACAGGCUUAGCACAUAAUGUAUUUAUGUGAGGUUUAUGAAACAGGCUUAGCACAUAAUGUAUUUAUGUGAGGUUUAUGAAACAGGCUUAGCACAUAAUGUAUUCAGAGGUGGUACAUAUAUGAUGUGUACUGGAAUUUCACACACAUAUGAACAUCCUCAAAGAUGGUUCUAUGAGAAUUGUGUGGUAACACUACAUUGUGAUACUCUACAUUGCAGCAGUUAGCCCUCAUUUCCUGCUGAUGUUCAUCUUCAUCAUUAAUGAGUACAUAGGGAAUGAGUUCCUGUAUGGAGUGGCCACCAUAUUAUUCUGAAUUCAUCCUGUUACAAAUCUUUGGAAUGCCCUUGAGUGUGUUUUUGCUGCACCUCAUAGAGAAAUGGCUAGUGUUUUUCUUUUGAAGCAAGUACAUCAUCGAACACCAUGCAUUCAGAUGUGGUAGAGACAAGAUGUGUGGUGAAAUUUCACACCGAUCUGAAUAUCUGUAAAAGUGAUUCUUUGACAACUGUGUGGUAACACUCCAUUGUGAUACUUUAUAUUGCAGCACUUAGUCCUCAUUUCCUACUUACAACUCAUUCCCAUCAAAACAGCACCAUUGAUGAGUACCUAGAGAAUGAGGACAUUUCCUGUAUGCAGUGGCCACUGUAUCAUACUGACAUAAUUCUUGUUGCAAAUCUUUGGGAUACCCUUGGGUUUGAUGUCUCUGCACCUUAUGGAGAAAUGGCUAUUGGCUAUUUUUUUAGUCUGUUAUUUUUAAAAUAGGCACAUCAAAUAUGUUGCCAGUUCCUGUGUCCCUUUUGUGAUAAUCACUUGUGUCAUUAUCAACAUGCAGCAUUUAUUUUCUUCACAUUAUUUGAGUGUGUAGUUCAAGUCAGCCUUCAUUUAGGCACUUUGUUAGAUUACUUUGCAUGCAGUUGAAAGGUAGUUUAGAUCAGACAACCUAUGUUUAAAACUUAAUUACAUUAGAAUUCAAUUUAAAUUUGAUAAUUUUUAAAAACUGAAGCAAGUUCCCCAAUAUGAAUUAAAUGCAUACUAAUAUACAUACACUUAUUAAGCAAAAGCAAAAUAUGUUAAUUUGUAAUUCUGUUAAUGUUACUGAUUUAUUCAGCUAUCUUUUAUUAAAAAAUUAAAACCACUCUAAUUCAUAAUAUUAACCAAUGACUUUUAUGUGUAAUACUGCUAAAAACAAUGCUCGUUUUUAUAUAUUAUCUUUUAUAAUGAAAAGAAUAAUAUUCUGGAUUAUUAUUCUUUGUUUUGUUUCAACUGGCAGAAUAAUUCAGUAUUCUACAGCAUAAUUUUGAUUUAGUGCACGGAAAUGAAGUGGAUAUUAAAAAAAGCAUUUUUUGCGACUUCUCUCGCAGCUGUUGUUACCAUGGUUAUGAGUCCAAUCAGAUGGCGACAAAUAAUAUUGAAGUUUCUAUUUUUUAGAUUAUAACAUAUGUGAUGGUUGAUUACCUCAUUCAAAGCACGGCCACUCAUUGUAAAGUUUGUGUGAGAGUCCAGUGAAAGUGAUAAUAUACCUUAUUAUUAUAAUUAGUUCAUGUUCAGCAAUAAAGAUUAUGCUCAAUGGAUACAUCUGUCUACAAGUCUCUCCUUCGAGUGUCAUCUUUUUAGUUAUGUAGUAAGGUCUCUCCAAGUUAUAAUGCAGAGAGCCAUUGUCAAUCCAUUGCAGCUUACUCCAAGUUUUUAUCAUAUAUAUAUACCUGCUUUUAAUUUAAUUUCUUUUUACAAUUGAAAUUUUGUUAUUCAUGAUUUAAUUCAAGUCCCCGUUAAACAUUUUUAACAAUUUACAUUCAAGUUACUUUA
Stegodyphus dumicola is the source of this 3396-nucleotide unclassified non-coding RNA. The record is from RefSeq and is a predicted model, not a curated record. Lineage: Eukaryota; Metazoa; Arthropoda; Arachnida; Araneae; Eresidae.